RNAcentral lists this ribosomal RNA (575 nucleotides) under uncultured rumen bacterium. RNAcentral's name for it is "bacterial SSU rRNA". It matches the Rfam family "Bacterial small subunit ribosomal RNA", at positions 347 to 916 of the family's 1533-position model. The record is from RNAcentral.
GGCAGCAGCUAAGAAUAUUCCGCAAUGGACGAAAGUCUGACGGAGCGACGCCGCGUGGAUGAUGAAGGCCGGAAGGUUGUAAAAUCCUGUUAGGUGCGAGGAAUAAGGGGAGUGAGAGAAACGCUUCCCGGUGACGGUAGCACCUGAAUAAGCAACGGCUAAUUACGUGCCAGCAGCCGCGGUAACACGUAAGUUGCGAGCGUUGUUCGGAAUUAUUGGGCGUAAAGGGUAUGUAGGCGGUUCUGCAAGUCUGGUGUGAAAUGCCGGGGCUCAACCCCGGAACUGCGUUGGAAACUGCAGGACUUGAAUCGCUGAGGGGCAGCCAGAAUUCCAGGUGUAGGGGUGAAAUCUGUAGAUAUCUGGAAGAAUACCAAUGGCGAAGGCAGGCUGCCAGCAGAUGAUUGACGCUGAGGUACGAAGGUGCGGGGAGCAAACAGGAUUAGAUACCCUGGUAGUCCGCACAGUCAACUAUGUACACUGGGUGUCCGCUCAUGAGAAUGGGUGCCGAAGCAAACGCGAUAAGUGUACCGCCUGGGGAGUAUGCCCGCAAGGGUGAAACUCAAAGGAAUUGACGG